Non-coding RNA from Capsicum annuum, 105 nucleotides. NCBI's taxonomy places the organism in Eukaryota, Viridiplantae, Streptophyta, Magnoliopsida, Solanales, Solanaceae. The record is from Rfam.
UGAUAAUGAUGAGGGCAAAUUUUGAGCAUAGCCUUAAAUCUUUCCCAUGCGUGGUUAGGAUUCUCUCCAUAUUUCUACCUAAAAUAGAAUAUCAUAUCUCAAACA